This 5379-nucleotide long non-coding RNA is filed under the name Sus scrofa (pig). RNAcentral describes it as "lncRNA (ENSSSCG00040024965.1)". The record is from RNAcentral. Lineage: Eukaryota; Metazoa; Chordata; Mammalia; Artiodactyla; Suidae.
UUUUUUUUUUUUUUUUUUGUCUUUUUGCCUCUUCUAGGGCCACUCCCGUGGCAUAUGGAGGUUUCCAGGCUGGGGGUCUAAUUGGAGCUGUAGCCUCUGGCCUAUGCCACAAUCACUGCAACCCCAGAUCUGAGCCAAGUCUGCGACCUACACCCCAGCUCACAGCAAUGCCGGAUCCUUAACCCACUGAGCAAGGCCAGGGAUAGAACCCACAACCUCAUGGUUACUAGUCAGAUUCGUUAAUCACUGAGCCAUGAUGGGAACACCACAAUUUCCUUUUUAAUUUUUGUUUUUAUAAUAGCGAUCCCAAUGGGUAUGAGUGGUAUCUUGUGGUUUCAAGUUGCAUUCCCCUAAUGACUAUUGAUAUUAGUCAGUUUCAUGCAAGAGUCUCUAGUUCCAUCCAUGUUGCUGCAAAUGGCAUUAGUCUGUCUUUUUUUUAUAGCUGAGUAAUAUUCCAUUGUGUAUAUGUACCACAUCUUCUUAAUCUAUUCCACUGUCAAUGGACAUUUAGAUUGUUUCCAUGUCUUGGCUAUUAUGAAUAGUACUGCAGUGAACAUAGGAGUGCAUGUAUCUUUUUCAGUGAAAGUUUUGCCCAGAUAUAUGCCCAGCAGUGGAAUUGCUGGAUCAUAUGGUAAAUCUAUAUUUAGAUUUUCUGAGGUAACUCCAUACUGUUUUCCAUAGCAGUUGUACCAGUUUACAUUCCCACCAACAGUUGAGGAGGGUACCUUUUUCUCCACACCCUCUCCAGCAUUGUAUUUGUUAUUUGUUGACUUGUUAAUGAUGGCCAUUCUGACUGGUGUGUGGUGGUACCUCACUGGAGUUUUAACUUUGAUUUCUCUAAUAAUUGGUGAUAUUGAAUUUUUUUUUAUAUGCCUAUUGGCCAUCCAUAUGUCUUCUUUGGAGAAAAUGUCUAUUUAGGUCUUCUGCCCAUUUUUCAGUUUGGCUGUUUUUUUGUUGUUGAGUUGCAUGAGUUGUUUGUAUAUUUGGAGUUUAGGCCCUUGUCUGUUGCAUCAUUGCAAAUAUUUUCUCCUAUUCUGUGGGCUGUCUUUUUUUUUUUUUGGCUGCACCCAUAGCAUAUGGAAGUCCCCAGGCUAGGGGUCUAAUCAGAGCUGCACCUGAAGCCUAUGCCACAGCCAGAGCAAUGUGCAAGAUCCUAGCUGCAUCUGACCUAUACCACAGCUCAAGGCAAGGCCAGAUCCUUAACCCACUGAGCGAGGCCAGGGAUCAAACCCAAAACCUCAUGGUUCCUAGUCAGAUUCAUUUCUGCUGCAUCACGACGGGAACUCCUUGAAUUGUUUUUGUUGUUGAGUUAUAGGAGCCUUUACAUAUUCUGGAUAUUAAUCCCUUAUCAGACCUAUGAUCUGCAAAUAUCUUUCCUCAUUCUGUAGGUUAUCUCUUCAUUCUUUCCAUAGCAUCAUUUGAUGUACACGAGUUCUUUAUUUUUAUGAAGUUGAAUUUACCUGUAUAUUCUUUUGUUGCCUGUGCUCUGGGUGUCAUACUCAAACCAUUGUCAAAUCCCUGUAUUUUUUUCAAAGAGUUUUAUAGCUUCAGCUCGUUCACUUAGGUCUUUGACUCAUUCCAAGUUAAUUUUUGUAUACGGUAUAAAGGAAAUGUCCAAUUUCAUUCUUUUGCAUGUUGGAUAUCCAGUUUUACCAGUACCAUUUCUUGAAAAGAUGGUCCUUUCCUCAUUGAAUGAUCUUGGCUCCCCUGUUGAAAAUUAACUGAAUACAUGUGAGGGUUGUUUCUAGGCUCUCUAGCCUUUUCCAUUGGUCUGUAUGUCCAGGUGCAUGCUAAUAUCACAUAUUUUGAUUUUAACUUUGUAGUACAUUUUGAAAUUGGAAAGUGUGAGCUUUCCAGCUUUAUUCUUUGUUUGUUUUUUCUAGGGCUGCAUCUGCAGCUUAUGGAGGUUCCCAGGGUAGGGGUCUAAUUAGAGCUGUAGCCGCUGGGCUACACCAGAGCCACAGCAACACCAGAUCCUUAACCCACUGAGCAUGGCCAGGGAUCGAAGCCACAACUUCAUGGUUCCUAGUCAGAUUCGUUAACCACUGAACCACAACCGGGAACUCAAUUUUAUUCUAUUUUAAGAUUCUUUUCGUAGCCUAUCAUUUAUAUGCAGAUGGAUUUCAAUAUGUGGUGGAAGUAUAGCCAAGCAGGGCUCUGUGAGGCUCCUGGGCGCACAAGUCUUUCUGUGUCCUCCAGUUCUUGUUUUUAGGGAAUAAGCUUCAGCUUCCAUGACCUUCCCUAAGUUCCAAAGGGUAGUUGCUAAUCAGGGAAGGGAGGGAAUGCAGACACCAGAGAGGAGCAGAGAGACAAUAGUGCAGGCUUGGGGCAGGGUCCUGGUUCCUCCUCAAGGAAUAUAACAAUAUCUUUGAGCCUUUCGGUAGAAUUAAAACACCCAACAAACUGGAGAACUACUUGAUGAAUCAUUCUUCAUUCCAGGAAGGAGGACCACCAGAACCAGUCUUGGGGACACUAAACACCAGCUUUGAAAGACAACGCAAGUUUGCCUCUAUGCUGAUCCUUAUCAAUGGCCCUAUUUUUCUACUCCCCAAACUAUAAAGCCAUCUCCCAGUCUCUUCCACAGUCUUUAAGACAUUAGUCUGCCAUGGCCCCCUCUGCCUGACAAAUAAAGCUAUCUUUUUCUCCUUCACUCAAAAACUGUCUCCACAUUUCUAUUUGGUAACAGCUGACAGAGGCCUAGUUUUGGCAACAGAAGCAUUCAAGAGAAGAAGGAGAAAAUUCAAACUCAUGCUCUCAUAGUUCUUUACCUCUAGCAAGGUCCCAGUCAAUGUGUUUUUAUUCAGACGGGCCCACUCUGCACUCUUAGAGGUAUAAAGCAGUGUUGGGGAGGAAGAAAUUUUCCUCUCCCUUUCCAGCUUCUCGGAGACCUAGAAGAAGAGAAUUCCUUGAUCUAAGAGUUAAAUUGACAUGAGUUGCAGUAACAGGAGAAAAUUCAGUAACAUGUAUACAUGGGAGAAAUAACAUGUAUAUAAUAACAUGUAUACAUGGGAGAAAGUCAGGAAACUCAGUACCUUACCAAAAUGGCCAAAGCCCUCACCUUAAACUUCAUCUUCAGCUAAGGACAAAAGAAAAUGUUGAGGGUGGAGAGUUAAGUAAAGUUAUCAGGAAAAGCAGGGUAAACAAGGUUAAGAUUGUUAUGCAGGUUUAAGUCCUUGCCUUCUCCACAGAUAAGAGUUUCUCAAGAUUGGUCACUGUCUUCCAGGUAUAGAGAGGGUGAUACCCUUACAAAUGGACAUUUUCAAUUUACAAAUGUAAACGUUUCUUACAAUAGACAAAUCCCACUUGUUUUUUAGAGUCCUCCUCCUGUCCGCUGUUUAUCUGAAAAUAACUAACCUAAAACAAUGAAUAUGCCAAAGAGAUAUAUUUUAGGAUGGCAAAUUCUGCUCCCUACAGUAGCUUGUGGUCACAUUACAAAUAACUGGUCAUGAUGUUAUGGUACUGUAUGUAUAUACAUAUAUAUUAUAUGUAUAUGGAACCCCAUUAGGGUCGUAGAACUGAAGGAGCACUUUAUUUGUCUUUUGUCUUUUUAGGGCUGCAACAGCAUAUGGAGGUUCCCAAGCUAGGGAUCGAAUCAUAUCGGAUUCAUUUCCACUGCACCAAGAUGGGAACUCCAGAAAGAGUACUUUAAAAGGAGACCAGGGAGUUCCUGUUGUGGCACAGUGGUUAACAAAUCUGACUAGGAACCACGAGGUUUCAGGUUCGAUCCCUGCCCACGCUCAGUGGGUUAAGGAUCCAGCAUUGGUGUGAGCUGUGGUGUGGGUCGCAGACGUGGCUCGGAUCCCGAUUGCUGUGGCUGUGGCGUAGGCCGGUGGCUAAAGCUCCGAUUGGACCCCGAGCCUGGGAACCUCCAUCUGCCCGGGGAGCAGCUAAAGAAAAGGCAAAAAGACAAAAAAAAAAAAAAAAAAAAAAGACCAGAAUCAGGUUUCUAAUUCCAACUCUGCGCUUACAACCAAUGACCUUAACAAGUAUCUCCCCUCUUUAGGGCUCAGUUUACUUUACACCUGCCCUGCUACCUCACAGGGUAUACUAGGGCUCAAGUGACAUAAAUAGUUUAUGUGCAGCAGAAUGGUAGAUGUAGGGGAUCAUCCCAUGUCCUUGGCCUGUCUCUUGUUUGUAGAAAUGCUGUAGUCUCCCAGGCCUCCUCUAAGUUCCAAAAGCCUGUUAAAGAUCUGGCAUUGUCUAUAGGUGGCAUAGAUUCAGUUCCUGCCCUGGCAUACUGGCUUAAGGAUAAUGCAUUGCCACAGUUGUGGUGCAGAUUGCUGCUGCAGCUCAAAUUCAACCCCUGGCCUAGGAACUUCCAUAUAUUGCAAGUGUAGCCAUUAAAAAAAAAAAAAAAAAAAAAAAAUACAAAAAAAAAAAAGAAUUAAUGAUUGAACAGAUGUGAAUAUGUAGCAACAAAAGUAGCAAUUGGGCCAGGAGAACUGGUAAGAAUUUAAAUAGUAAAUCAGACAAGUGGCAGUCACAGAAUCUUUAGUUCCUCUCUGAAGUACUUAGAUAACACAAUCUUGUUAUGGGUUUCAAGUCCUCUUCAAGGAGAUUAAACACAAAAGCCUCUGCCUGUCUCACUGUAAUGCCCCUUCCCCCACCUUGAGCAAAUUGGCCUGCUCACUCCCUACUAGGGAAGGAAUGUCUUCCAUCUCUCCUCCCACGGCUGUAUAACCUGUUCCCCAUGCAAAUAAGGUAUCCUGCCCUGCCGGAAGCCAAUCAGAAGAUCAAAUAUGCCCUAUACAGAGAUCAAACAACACUCAGCCCUUACACAGCGCACAGGGGGGAUGGGACAGGAAAAAUUUGUGGGACUGGAGCAGAAAUUUGGUCCCCACUCAGGUCUGCAACAUGGGAAUAUAAAAACAAUUGUAAAGUGAGGUAGGACCUCUUUUUACUCUCUCUCUGAAUAUGUACUUUUGCUUUAGUAAAUUUGUAAAGCACCUGCUAUUUCAAUGAUUUCCUAUCACAGGGCAGGUACUGAGGAAACUGCCAUUCUAUCAUUCUGGAGCAAAUUCUAUCAAUCUGAUGCUCAUUUUGUGAGUGCUUUUACAGAUGCUUAAACACCCACUCAAAGGAAGAAGUUAAUUACCUGAUGACCAUGAGCAGGCAGCCCCCAGACCUACUGGAGCCUGAGGAUUGAUAAUGUUAACCCCUGUGACACUGCUCUGUUACCUCACCAUCAACCAAUCAGAGAGCAUGAGCUGGUCAUAUACCCUGGCAUAUGGAGGUUCCCAGGCUAGGGGUUGAAUUGGAGCUAGAGAUGCUAGCCUAGGCCAUAACCACAGCAACGCAAGAUCUGAGCCACAUCUGCAACCUACACCAAAGCUCAUGACAAUGCCAGAUCCUUAACCUACUGAGCUAGGCCAGGGAUCG